This 251-nucleotide ribosomal RNA is filed under the name uncultured bacterium. RNAcentral's name for it is "partial 16S ribosomal RNA". It matches the Rfam family "Bacterial small subunit ribosomal RNA", at positions 57 to 305 of the family's 1533-position model. The record is from RNAcentral.
GCAAGUCGAGGGGUAACAGGAGGGCUUGCACUCGCCGACGACCGGCGCACGGGUGAGUAACGCGUAGAGAAUCUACCUUUUACAGGGGGAUAGCCUUUAGAAAUGAAGAUUAAUAUCCCAUAGUAUUGAGACUUGGCAUCAAGACUUAAUUAAAGAUUUAUCGGUAAAAGAUGACUAUGCGUCCUAUUAGCUAGAUGGUAAGGUAACGGCUUACCAAGGCGACGAUAGGUAGGGGCCCUGAGAGGGGGAUC